Ailuropoda melanoleuca (giant panda) is the source of this 1289-nucleotide long non-coding RNA. RefSeq lists it as uncharacterized. The record is from RefSeq and is a predicted model, not a curated record. Lineage: Eukaryota; Metazoa; Chordata; Mammalia; Carnivora; Ursidae. The transcript is spliced from 3 exons.
UGGAAUGAGAUGCACAAAGGGGUCUCUGUACCACCUCAGCUCUGUUACUUCUUUUCGUAUAGUUGAUGCAUGAUGGAAGCAGGCUAUCUGGGCUGAGAAAUCUCCCUUAGAGAGAAGAACAAAGGAGAAAACAGAAGGUGAGACAGAGAAUCUAUUGCUCUGUGGUCCCAGCCUCCCCAAAGAAAGAUGCCCACGCACAUGACAAGAGCGCUAGAAGGUUCUGGGAGCUCGAGGAGCUUGUUGCAGCCCGAGAAAUCUCAGCGAGGAACUCUCAGCCACUGAAGAGGACCCCUGAAGGCUUUUGAGGCCAAGCUUGCCUGAAGUCCCAGAGCCAGAAUACCUGGGUAUGCCUGAGCUGGAAGGGACACACCGGCCCUCAAGCCCAAAGAGGUCAGAUGGGGAAACAGAGGCCCAGGGAGCUUGCACACCUGAUGAGUGACUGAGCUGGGAUUUGAACCCAGGCUCCAGAAGGAAGGGUGGCACGCUGUUCUGAACACGGAAGGAAUGGACAGGCGAGGCGGCUCACCCUGGCAGCCAGAGCAAGGGAAGCUGUGCGUUGGAGACCCACACAGGUCCGGGGGAGGUUCAGGGCUUAGUGUGGAGCCUGCAGAGAACUUGCUUCCCAGGCUGGAAUGGGGGAGCCCCUGGGAAAGCAGUGGGGGCUCCGCCCACGUGGUGAAGAGGGUGGGGGUCUGGUGGGAAGCCUCCAUUGUCUGGGAUAACUCGACACCUGCACGAGAUCAAACAGAGGCUGGGUGCACAGAGAACAGCGUUGUCCUCUGGCUUCUCCAGGCUCCCCUCGCCGUGCUGUCCCAUUGCCCCCCCCCUCGACAGGGCUCUGACGCACUUGGCUUCCUCAGACAGGAUUGUUCUUCUCCCCCUGCCCCUCCACCACUCCCCUCCACCCUGAGCCUCGCCUUGCCCCGCCAUGCCAUUCCCUUCCUGCAUAUCCCAUCCCAACCUGUCCUUCACCUUCCGCCGUGUGCCUCCCCACCCGAGUCAGCUCCCUCUGCCGCACAUUCUCGGCCUGUCCUGUAUGCCUCGCUUGUAGCUCUUUAGCUCACCUGCAAUUAAAUGUUUCAUUGCGCACUGGCAAGUUUUUAAAUAGCUUUAUUGACCUGUGCAUGUUCAAAGUGUAAAAUUCGAUAACUUUUGAUGUACAUUUUCACUCAUUCAACCAUCACCGCAAUCAAGAGAAUGAGCACCCCUGUCUCCUCUAAACAGUUACCCUAUGAUCCCCUGUAUUUCCUCCCCACCUCCCACCCCUUUCCCCCAUCUGGCCGUCAACU